This 490-nucleotide ribosomal RNA is filed under the name uncultured bacterium. RNAcentral describes it as "bacterial SSU rRNA". It matches the Rfam family "Bacterial small subunit ribosomal RNA", at positions 30 to 507 of the family's 1533-position model. The record is from RNAcentral.
AUUGAACGCUGGCGGCAGGCCUAACACAUGCAAGUCGAACGGUAACAGGAAGCAGCUUGCUGCUUCGCUGACGAGUGGCGGACGGGUGAGUAAUGUCUGGGAAACUGCCUGAUGGAGGGGGAUAACUACUGGAAACGGUAGCUAAUACCGCAUAACGUCGCAAGACCAAAGAGGGGGACCUUCGGACCUCUUGCCAUCGGAUGUGCCCAGAUGGGAUUAGCUAGUAGGUGGGGUAACGGCUCACCUAGGCGACGAUCCCUAGCUGGUCUGAGAGGAUGACCAGCCACACUGGAACUGAGACACGGUCCAGACUCCUACGGGAGGCAGCAGUGGGGAAUAUUGCACAAUGGGCGCAAGCCUGAUGCAGCCAUGCCGCGUGUAUGAAGAAGGCCUUCGGGUUGUAAAGUACUUUCAGCGGGGAGGAAGGGAGUAAAGUUAAUACCUUUGCUCAUUGACGUUACCCGCAGAAGAAGCACCGGCUAACUCCGUG